AGUAAUAACACUCAUUUAAGGAACAUAUGUAAUUGUUUUGGGUUACAAAUUAUAAAUAACUUCAAGUCUUAAUUAAUUCAUAAGUUUCUAUCUAUUUAUAUCUGUUUACCUUCAAGAUUUUGAAGGAAAACGAUAUUUUAAUAGUCCCAAGAGACCAAUCUUUGACCAAGAAGCGUCGAUAUCAAAGAUAAGUGCGUCAGAAAAGCAAUUAGUGUUUCAGAAGGAUUAGAUUUUAUUUUUCAUGGGAAAAAUAACCAGAUGACUGUAAAAAUUUGUUAAAACUAGUAAAAUUUGUAUAAUUGGUCACCUAUAAAAAUAAUAUUUAGAAAAGUUACUUAUCUAAGUAAUUUUUAAAAUAGC
This 360-nucleotide long non-coding RNA is filed under the name Mytilus galloprovincialis (Mediterranean mussel). Lineage: Eukaryota; Metazoa; Mollusca; Bivalvia; Mytilida; Mytilidae. The record is from RNAcentral.